Molecule: long non-coding RNA, 587 nt
Filed under: Lactuca sativa (garden lettuce)
Lineage: Eukaryota; Viridiplantae; Streptophyta; Magnoliopsida; Asterales; Asteraceae
Description: long non-coding RNA (LSAT_LNC007294)
Source: RNAcentral
UUCGAAUUGUGAGAACGUAGCACAUAAAAUAUUAUGGCAAAAGAUUGAUAAAGUAUCAAAUCUUUAUGUAAGACAUUAUGCAUUGUGUCUCAUAUGCUUCGGGUUAGAUUAUCAUUACGACAUUCCUCUUCAUAAUUCGAAUUGUGAGAACGUAGCACAUAAAAUAUUAUGGCAAAAGAUUGAUAAAGUAUCAAAUCUUUAUGUAAGACAUUAUGCAUCGUGUCCCAUACGCUUCGGGUAUAGGAUCGAUUGCAAAUGCUAUAAUAUUUGACCAUUCUAAAAUUUUCCAAAUGUCUAGCGCAUUUAGAGGGAAAAAGGACAAGAAUCGGUUUUGACUAAGAUAAUUAAACAACUAUCAAAGGACAAUCCAAAGUUCGCCUAGGAUUGGUCGCUUGUGAGUAGUUGGAAGUAUAGUAUUGGAUGGACCAUAUUGACAUUAUUAUGAAUAGAUAAGAUUCUAUUGAGAAUGAGUUGUCAUAUGGUAAGUAUGGAAAGGUUUCCAUAUUGGGAGUUGGAUAUUGAGAAUCAAUGUCUAGAUUAGAAAAUUUUAUGCAAAAGGAUGUUCAAAGGAAUGUACUUUGAGUGAG